GUAGGUGGCAAGCGUUGUCCGGAAUUAUUGGGCGUAAAGCGCGCGCAGGCGGUCCUUUAAGUCUGAUGUGAAAGCCCACGGCUCAACCGUGGAGGGUCAUUGGAAACUGGGGGACUUGAGUACAGAAGAGGAAAGCGGAAUUCCAAGUGUAGCGGUGAAAUGCGUAGAGAUUUGGAGGAACACCAGUGGCGAAGGCGGCUUUCUGGUCUGUAACUGACGCUGAGGCGCGAAAGCGUGGGGAGCAAACAGGAUUAGAUACCCUGGUAGUCCACGCCGUAAACGAUGAGUGCUAAGUGUUAGGGGGUUUCCCGCCCCCUUAGUGCUGCAACUAACGCAUUAAGCACUCCGCCUGGGGGAGUACGGCCGCAAGGCUG
RNAcentral lists this ribosomal RNA (374 nucleotides) under uncultured organism. Its description in RNAcentral is "partial 16S ribosomal RNA". It matches the Rfam family "Bacterial small subunit ribosomal RNA", at positions 527 to 896 of the family's 1533-position model. The record is from RNAcentral.